Mirounga angustirostris (Northern elephant seal) is the source of this 2723-nucleotide long non-coding RNA. RefSeq lists it as uncharacterized. Lineage: Eukaryota; Metazoa; Chordata; Mammalia; Carnivora; Phocidae. The record is from RefSeq and is a predicted model, not a curated record. The transcript has 4 exons.
ACAAAAUGCUAGCAGAGUAACCAUGUCCCCAGAAAAUAUACUCUAAACAAAUCAGAAAAGACCUGAAGCAGUGGGAUAAGAAAGGGAAAGAGAGAAAAAAGAAAAAGAAAAAAAAAGAAAAAGAUAAAGAUAAAAACAAAAACAAACAAAACAAAACAACAACAACAACAACAAAAACCAGAAUGUGAUCAAAUAUGAUCAGGCUGGUAUAUAGAUCAGUGCCACACACUAGAUUUGGGGUGUAUUUUGGUCUUUUAGAAGAAAGUGCCUCCCAAAAUUUUAAGAAAGAAAAACUUACAUAUGUACAAAAAUAAGGGUUGAUAUGAUGAAGGGAUGGAAUAUGACUGUAAAAAUGGAAAUUAUAAAAAAUUUUAUAAAAGGAAUUGAUAAGAAGUUGUUUGAAAAAAGAAAAAAGAGGAUUUAAAAAAAGAAAAAAGAAAAAGAAAAAAAAAGGGAGAGGAUGUGAUCAGGCAGGGGAAUAGAAAACACCAUAUACUAGAGAUUUAGGGUAUAUUUUAAUCUGUUAGAAGAAACUAUCUCAAAAUUUUAAAGAGAGAACAACUUAUAUAUAUAAGCCAAAAAUAUGGGUAACUACUAUGAAGGGAUAGACUAUGACUCUAAAAAUGAAAAAUAAAAAUGUUUUUUUUUUUAAAAAAAGGGAUUGAUAAGAUGUUGGUUGAAAAAGGGAAAAAGAAAAAUUCAAAAAGAAAUAAAAAGACAAAAAGACAGUUAAAAAAAUUAACUUUAAAAGACUAAAGAAUCGUGGUAAGAAAGCCGUGAAUUCUAUGUGCAGUAGUCCCCUAGCACUGGAGUUCUGCCGCUCUCAUUGAUCAGUAAACUUGGUCUUGGCUGGCUGUUCUUGCUGAUCUUCUGGGGAGGGGCCUGUUGCCGUGGUUUCCAAAUGUCUCUGCCGGAGGCGGAAUUGCCCCGCCCUUGCCCCCUCCCGGCUAAGUAAUCUGCUCGGGUUUGCUCUCCGGGGCUUUUGUUCCCUGCGAGCUUUCCUUACAGCUUUGGAGGUGGAGAGUGAAAAUGGCGGCCUCCCAAUCUCCGCCCUGGAGGAGCCGAGAACUCGGGGCCCGCUCCUCAGUGAGCCCCCAGAGAAAAGCCGUCAGUCACUCCCGUCUCCCCGGUCUCCGGCCGCACUCCGCUCACCCGGCCUGUGACCGUGCGUUUCUAUCUCUGGCACCCAACCCGGGGUGGAGUCUCCAAACCCAGCAGAUCCCUGCGGUGCCCUUCCGCGCGGCUCCUCACAGGGGAGGAAGAGAGAGAGAGAGCACAAGCAGGGGGAGUGACAGGCAGAGGGAGGAGAAGCAGGCUCCUCAAGGAGCAGGAAACCUGAUGCGGGGCUCGAUCCCAGGACCCUGGGAUCAUGACCUGAGCUGAAGGCAGAUGCUGACCUGACUGAGCCACCCAGGUUAGCCCACAGUCAUAAAUCCCCAGUCCAUAAAGAAGGAAACACAGGAUGUGGGAGGCUGUGGGUGGCAGCAGUCAGAGGAACCAGAAAGCAGAACCGAAAUGAACCGAGGACAGUUUGGUGACGAGUAGAAGCCUUUGGCCAUGAACAUCAUUUAAUCAUAGGUGCUACAUCAGCAAGAUGAGAAGUUAUAGCUAGAAAAAAGAAGACACGGGGUCUCCAGGAAACAGAGCUCCAAUCCAAGUGUUGGAAGACAGGAUUCAUCAGGGUGAUGGUGGAGGGGGUUUGGCCUGGGUUCGGGCAGGGGUAGGGUGCGUCUGAAGUUCAGUGAGAGGUAUGUGACUACAAUGAAACUGAAAGCACACCUGAGCUGUCUGAGCGUAUUGAGAAGAUGCUGACACCAUAGGGGAGGAUUCGUGGUUGAAUUCAUAAUUGAAAACUCAGCAAAUGACACUCCAGAGCAAACAAACUGUUCAUUAAGGAAGGGAAAGACACAUUAUGCUGCAUGAGUCAAUAAAAGCGUUUACUUGGUCAUAACAAAACACUGACCCAACCAAAAUCACAGUGUAUUUAUAUUUGAAUGAUGAAGAGUGCAGAGGGAGUAGGAGCUGGGGAGAAAGAGAGCAAAUCAUCUUCUGUUGAGAGAUAUUAGUGGCCAAUGCCUAAACAUUAAAAACUCAAGCAGUAGCCGUAUACACAUGUUGCUUAGAAGUAAGGACGUACCAGAUGAAAGUAUCAUCUAAAAGAGCAGAGAAAGGAAGUGGGAGUCUAAAAUUAGAUGAGAGAGUGAGGAGGGGCAGGAACAGUGAAGAAAGGAGAGUUAGGACUAGGUGAGAGAGAUGGGUUAAGUUAAAUCUAUGGGCCUGGGCAACUGGCUGGAUAAGAGAGGGCUGGAAAAGGAUGACAGGGGGCCCAGGCAGGGUAACUGUGAAGUUGCUAACAGAAUUCAGAGAAGAGAAUUCCAGAGAAGACAUGGGUUAUAGUAGGGGCAGAUAAAGGAAGACAGCGGAAUAUGGUAGAAAUACAAUGGCUCAGGAGUAUGAAGAUCUUAAUUCUGCCGCUUUGUCUAUGUGGCCUUGGACAGACCACAUAACCUCUGUGGGUUGCAGUAUCCUUACUACCAAGUGAGAGAGGCAGUAGAGCAUAGUGGUGAGGAACCCACUCUCUGGAACUGGAUUGCCCACGUUCAAAUACCACUAAACCUCAUGCUCCCACCCCAGUUACUAGCCAUGUGGUUCGGCUCAUUUACCUAACUUCUGUGUGCCUCAUUUUCCUCAUCUGUAAAUGGAGAUAAUAAUAUCCACAUUAU